GGAAAUUCCAGGGGAGACCAACUUAUUCACAGUGCAAUUCCGGAGUCAUGCGGAAAAAAUGCAUUUCCAAGGGUCAUUGAUUGUCAUCAUCGAAAAAAAAAGUGCUUGGAAUUCCAGGCACUCCCUUCUACAAACCACAUUUUUCCAGGGAUGGAGUCAAAAAGUGGCAAGGAAAUCCAGGGGAGAUCAACUUAUUCACAGUGGAAUUCCGGAGUCAUGCGGAAAAAAAUGAAUUUCCAAGGGUCAUUGAUUAAACACAAUUGGAAUUCCAGGCACCCCCUUCUACAAACCACAUUUUUCCA
Paramuricea clavata is the source of this 302-nucleotide non-coding RNA. NCBI's taxonomy places the organism in Eukaryota, Metazoa, Cnidaria, Anthozoa, Malacalcyonacea, Plexauridae. The record is from the annotation of a GenBank genome assembly.